CUACGGGACGCUCCAGUGAGGAAUAUUGCACAAUGGGGGGAACCCUGAUGCAGCAACGCCGCGUGCAGGAUGACGCAUUUCGGUGUGUAAACUCCUUUUAUAUGUCAAGAAAAUGACGGUAGCAUAUGAAUAAGCACCGGCUAACUCCGUGCCAGCAGCCGCGGUAAUACGGAGGGUGCAAGCGUUACUCGGAAUCACUGGGCGUAAAGGAAGCGUAGGCGGGUUGGAAAGUCAGGUGUGAAAUCCUACAGCUUAACUGUAGAACUGCACUUGAAACUUCUAAUCUAGAGUAUGGGAGGGGGAGAUGGAAUUAGUGGUGUAGGGGUAAAAUCCGUAGAUAUCACUAGGAAUACCUAAAGCGAAGGCGAUCUCCUGGAACAUUACUGACGCUAAGGCGUGAAAGCGUGGGGAGCAAACAGGAUUAGAUACCCCUGUAGUC
This 439-nucleotide ribosomal RNA is filed under the name uncultured bacterium. RNAcentral's name for it is "partial 16S ribosomal RNA". It matches the Rfam family "Bacterial small subunit ribosomal RNA", at positions 339 to 795 of the family's 1533-position model. The record is from RNAcentral.